CCGGCCUCGAUUCUUUAAAAACGUCUGGGUAUGAAAGUGAGAAGGACUGAGGAACCUUCUAGAUUAAAGGAGAGUAAACAGACAUGGCCACUAAAUGGAGCAGAUCCUGUACUGGACAUGUAAGUGCUUAAAGGACACUAUUGGGACAAUUGACAAACAUGGGAUAUUGGAAGGUAAAUUAGAUGUUCCAUGAGUUACACUAAGCUCUCUGGGACCAGAGCUGUGGACAGCAGAGACCCGGGCCUUGCCUCCCAGAACUUCCACUGCAGGGGAUGUGAUGGACACUAGUGAGCAUAAGCGCUACGGAAGCACAAGGAGGGGCAUCUCAUCCAGACCAAGAGGACCCCGAUAUUCACAGAGGAGAACAAAGCCGCCUUCCCGAAGCUGUACUUUGGGUUUUGUUCUUGCUGAAGCCAUGAGAAGCCAGCAGCCCGCGUGCCUCUGUAGGUCAGAAACAAGGGCCCUUUGGCUCUGUCCAAAGAUCAUAAUCUUCGUAGUAACAAAGCAAUAUGCUUUCAGUUUUACUCAGUGCUUUCUCUUUCAUGAUCUCAUUUCAUUUACAGAGCAGACUUACGGAAUGUUGGAGACCCUGAUGGCUACAAUACUUGGGGAUUUCCACACCCUCUUUGGUGAAGUCCCAGGAAACUGUGAAGGAGCCAGGGGCCUGCCCUGUCGGGAGGAGCCCCCCUCCUCGGGGCAGGAAGCCGAGCUGGCUCAUUUCUCUGCCCUUUGCUCAGCCAACCAUGCCAACUGAGCUGCUUGCUUGCGCUUGUCCCAUAUAUUGCAGUUCCAGUGACAUUUCUCUUGAAAAGUAGAUCUUAUAGCUGGAAACAAAAGUUUGGAGACUAUUGAUCAGUGGCAAUACCUUCAUAUUUUUGGUAAAGAAAUGCAGGUCCAGAAAAGGAAAUCAUUGGUUUAAAAUCACAAAGUUAACAAGUAGCAGAGCAGAAACUAAGCUCCUGUCCUGGGUAUCAUUUCGGUUUCUACUCUAGGGCAUUCGAUUGCUGCAUCUGGCAAAACCAGUCACAGGAAAUGGAAAGGUCCAAUGUUCUGGCCCAAAAGGAGAGAAAAAUGACAAUAUUUUUUUUUAAAUCCCUGAAAGCUGAGGGUUCUGGCAUGCCCCUCCUCCCGUGUGCCUAUUGGGUCUGUGUUCCCUGAUGCUGAGAAGGCCCGGUGAGUCACCCCUCCCUCCCAGAGCCUCACUUUCCUCCCCGGAAACUGACCUGGGGAAGGUGGCUCACCACCAUCUCUUCUGGAUUCCAAAUGUGCUUCAGGUUAGGAAAUAACUAGCAACGUUUACCCCCGUCCUGACUAACUAAAGAUUGAAUACCAGGCUGAACUGAAAUCAUGGAUGGGAACAGUUUCUUUCUAAUGUAAAACCAUAAGAAGAACUCCUUAUGAUGUCCAAGUUGCUCCCAGCUGCGGUGCCAGGGAGCACAGAAAGACCUACAAUCACCUUCCCGGGAAGGGAGUCCAUUCCCACCCCCACCUCUCAUGCUUUCAAAAGCCACAGAAGGGAGAAAGACCCUAAGCUUCAUGAGGUUCCUUUGAGAAGGGGAACUCAGGUCUAUUUUAGCCCCUCCCUGUGAAGAAAUGGAGGGCUGAGUGGCACUCCCUGAGACCACUGCCACCAGAGUGACACUGCCUGCCAUCUAGAGGCACUAGGGCAGGAAAGGGAGGCCAGCAUGGUGGCUGAAGCUGAAUCACCAGCUCCAGGAGGGCAAAGGGUCAAUUACUUGCAAGCAUCAGCAGACUCAACACACUUUCGAACACAUCUCUUCCUCCUGUAGAAAAAAAUGAUGUUGCCUUAUAGCUUCCUCACCUCUAACUCCUUGGAAUGGAUUUCAUGCUAUCUGUUCCUUCCAUGCCAGUAAUCUCUCUCUCUCACUCUCUCUCUGGCCAAAAGAAUACCACUUUUUCCUGUUCAAACCUUGCAGAGUGCACCAAUUAUAUAUGUUAAAAAUGAUGACAACAGUGAAAUUACUGAAAACCAUAAAAAGCAAUUAAAAACUAAAACCUUGAAGUGCUGAUGCUCCAUGAAAUUAUACUGAUUUGAUAGAUUCCACAGUUGGACAUUGCCUUCCUCUGUCAUGUGAACAAAAUGUUAUCUUUUCAUUUUAAAAGCAGUGAUUAUAUCGGUAUUUUUUUAAUGACAUCUAUGGGUUGUUUCCUUUCUGUAAAUAUAGAAUGUUCAUUUGCAUAGUCACAAAGGAAAUUAGGAAAUGUCUACUCAAUUUUUACAGCUCAUGACGUGUACUAAUAUUCCCAGUUUCUUUUCUACUCUGCCUGGUUGAGCAAAAGAUAAAUUUGUGUCGCUGUUGUUUGUCAUAUUGCAAGAUGAUAAUGUUUACCAAAUAAGCAAAUGAAACGACCUAUCAAAUUUACAAAUGAACUGUAGGUUAGAGUUGACCAAAUGCCGUCACAUUUUUUUUUUUAAUGUACUUGUUUUGAAAUUAACCUAGGUUUUACUCUACUCUCUCACAGCUGCUGAAUCUGUGAACUUGAGCGUGUUACCUUACCUCUCUGAGCCCCACUUUCCGCAUAUGUAAAAUGGAGAUAGUACUAGUAUUCAUGGGAUCGUGGGGUGGACUGAGCAAGAAAAUAUGCAGUUUAGUGUGAUGCAUGCACUAUAGAGUAGGCCCUCAAUAACUGGGAUUUCCUUUAAUUUCACUAG
Molecule: long non-coding RNA, 2674 nt
Filed under: Equus caballus (horse)
Lineage: Eukaryota; Metazoa; Chordata; Mammalia; Perissodactyla; Equidae
Description: lncRNA (ENSECAG00000055601.1)
Source: RNAcentral